GACAGAGGGGGCAAGCGUUGCUCGGAAUCACUGGGCGUAAAGGGCGCGUAGGCGGGAUGGCAAGUCGGUCGUGAAAUCCUUCGGCUCAACCGAAGAACGUCGGCCGAUACUGCCGUUCUUGAGGGAUGCAGAGGAGAUUGGAAUUCCCGGUGUAGCGGUGAAAUGUGUAGAGAUCGGGAGGAAGGCCGGUGGCGAAGGCGGCGCUCUGGAACGUUUCU
RNAcentral lists this ribosomal RNA (218 nucleotides) under uncultured prokaryote. RNAcentral's name for it is "partial 16S ribosomal RNA". It matches the Rfam family "Bacterial small subunit ribosomal RNA", at positions 524 to 741 of the family's 1533-position model. The record is from RNAcentral.